Molecule: long non-coding RNA, 1642 nt
Filed under: Monodelphis domestica (gray short-tailed opossum)
Lineage: Eukaryota; Metazoa; Chordata; Mammalia; Didelphimorphia; Didelphidae
Description: lncRNA (ENSMODG00000034268.2)
Source: RNAcentral
CUGGAAACAAAGAUCAUUUUCUUUUCCUCCCUUCCCCCCCUCCCACCACCUUUCCCUCUCCCAUAGCCGACACACGAUUCCACUGGUUAUCACAUGUGUUCUUGACUCAAACCCAUUUCCCUGUUGUUGGUAUUUGCAUUAGAGUGUUCAGUUAGAGUCUCUCCACAGUCAUAUUCCCUCAACCCCUGUAGUCAAGCAGUUGCUUUUCAUCCGUGUUUUUACUCCCACAGUUUAUCCUCUGCUUGUGGAUAGUAUUUUUUAGAUCCCUGCAGAUUGUUCAGGGACAUUGCAUUGACACUAAUGGAGAAGUCCAUCACCUUCGAUUGUACCACAGUGUAUCAGUCUCUGUGUACAAUGUUUUCCUGGUUCUGCUCCUUUCGCUCUGCAUCACUUCCUGGAAGUUGUUCCAGUCUCCAUGGAAUUCCUCCACUUUAUUAUUCCUUUGAGCACAAUAGUAUUCCAUCACCAACAUAUACCACAAUUUGCUCAGCCAUUCCCCAAUUGAUGGGCAUCCCCUCAUUUUCCAAUUUUUGGCCACCACAAAGAGCACCGCUAUGAAUCUUCUUGUACAAGUCUUUUUCCUUAUUAUCUCUUUGGGGUACAAACCCAGCAGUGCUAUAGCUGGAUCAAAGGGCAGACAGUCUUUUAUCACCCUUUGGGCAUAGUUCCAAAUUGCCCUCCAAAAUGGUUGGAUCAGUUCACAACUCCACCAGCAAUGAAUUAGUGUCCCCACUUUGCCACAUCCCCUCCAGCAUUCAUUACUUUCCAUAGCUGUCAUGUUAGCCAAUCUGCUAGGUGUGAGGUGAUACCUCAGAGUUGUUUUGAUUUGCAUCUCUCUGAUUAUAAGAGAAUUAGAACACUUCUUCAUGUGCUUAUUAAUAGUUUUGAUUCCUUUGGCUGAGAACUGCCUGUUCAUGUCGCUUGCCCAUUUGUCAAUUGGAGAAUGGCCCCUGGUGUUUAGCUCCGCCCAGAUGUUCAGCGCAACCGCCCCAAGUACAGCUCCGCUGACCCCCGUGCUCAGCGCCGAGUUCUCCUGUGAAACCACCCUGAGAUGUUUUUUCCUGGCAGUCUUCAGAUCCCAAGGACCCUGGAGUGCCCCUCCCCCCCCAGACAGAGACGUUCCUCACUCACUCUCUGUCCCAGUGAGCGCUCAGUCUGUUUCGUUCGGUGCCGGUGCCGGGGAGAGGAAGCGUGUGUCAUCUAGAUUGCAGCCAUGAUUACCCGGAAGUCCCAGGAAGAGUCUCUUCUAAUGAAUCAGAACUCAUGCAGAACAGGAUGAGAGAAGUGAGAAUUUUCUUGUUGGACUCUCAAUGUCAUUAUUGACAGCAGCUGAGAUUCAUCAAGCACACAAGACAGAAGUUAACAGAUCAUCAACAUUGGGAUCACUCUGUAAGAGGGUGUAAGCCAAAAACCAAGGGUGAAGAGAGGAGCAAGCAAGCAGAGAAGAUGUUGAACUCUCUGUUCAUUGGACUUUGACCUCAGUUUUCAUUGCUAAUGCUCAAUAGAAAGCUUUUUGAGGCAACACUUCUCAUUUUCAGCAGUAUUAUCGUGGCAGGUAACUUGCUGCUGAAGGGAGUAGGAGGGUAAAAGAACUAAAAUAUGAGACAUCAACAAAUGCAAAUAAAGGCACAUUUUUCUACCA